GACGAACGCUGGCGGCGUGCCUAAUACAUGCAAGUCGAGCGGACGGAUGGGAGCUUGCUCCCAGACCGUCAGCGGCGGACGGGUGAGUAACACGUGGGCAACCUGCCUGUAAGACUGGGAUAACUCCGGGAAACCGGGGCUAAUACCGGAUAACUCUUUCCCUCACAUGAGGGAAAGCUGAAAGAUGGCAUCUCGCUAUCACUUACAGAUGGGCCCGCGGCGCAUUAGCUAGGUGGUGAGGUAACGGCUCCCCAAGGCGACGAUGCGGAGCCGACCUGAGAGGGUGAUCGGCCACACUGGGACUGAGACACGGCCCAGACUCCUACGGGAGGCAGCAGUAGGGAAUCUUCCGCAAUGGACGAAAGUCUGACGGAGCAACGCCGCGUGAGUGAUGAAGGUUUUCGGAUCGUAAAACUCUGUUGUCAGGGAAGAACAAGUACCGGAGUAACUGCCGGUACCUUGACGGUACCUGACCAGAAAGCCACGGCUAACUACGUG
RNAcentral lists this ribosomal RNA (498 nucleotides) under uncultured bacterium. RNAcentral's name for it is "partial 16S ribosomal RNA". It matches the Rfam family "Bacterial small subunit ribosomal RNA", at positions 28 to 507 of the family's 1533-position model. The record is from RNAcentral.